AUUGAACGCUGGCGGCAGGCCUAACACAUGCAAGUCGAACGGUAGCACAGAGAGCUUGCUCUCGGGUGACGAGUGGCGGACGGGUGAGUAACGUCUGGGAAACUGCCCGAUAGAGGGGGAUAACUACUGGAAACGGUAGCUAAUACCGCAUAACGUCGCAAGACCAAAGUGGGGGACCUUCGGGCCUCACACCAUCGGAUGUGCCCAGAUGGGAUUAGCUAGUAGGUGGGGUAAUGGCUCACCUAGGCGACGAUCCCUAGCUGGUCUGAGAGGGUGACCAGCCACACUGGAACUGAGACACGGUCCAGACUCCUACGGGAGGCAGCAGUGGGGAAUAUUGCACAAUGGGCGCAAGCCUGAUGCAGCCAUGCCGCGUGUAUGAAGAAGGCCUUCGGGUUGUAAAGUACUUUCAGCGGGGAGGAAGGCGGUGAAGUUAAUAGCUUCACCGAUUGACGUUACCCGCAGAAGAAGCACCGGCUAACUCCGUGCCAGCCGCCGCCGUAA
Molecule: ribosomal RNA, 504 nt
Filed under: uncultured bacterium
Lineage: Bacteria
Description: partial 16S ribosomal RNA
Rfam family: Bacterial small subunit ribosomal RNA
Source: RNAcentral